This 89-nucleotide small nucleolar RNA is filed under the name Metschnikowia bicuspidata var. bicuspidata NRRL YB-4993. Lineage: Eukaryota; Fungi; Ascomycota; Pichiomycetes; Serinales; Metschnikowiaceae. The record is from RNAcentral.
UUCUAUGAUGAUCUUUUUAUAUUCACACUGUACUAGAAGUUCUGCUUCCGUGACUACACAACAAAAAAACUGAUUUAAUGAAUCUGAUG